CCUACGGGUGGCAGCAGUGGGGGAUAUUGCACAAUGGGGGAAACCCUGAUGCAGCGACGCCGCGUGAGUGAAGAAGUAUUUCGGUAUGUAAAGCUCUAUCAGCAGGGAAGAAAAUGACAGUACCUGACCAAGAAGCCCCGGCUAAAUACGUGACAGCAGCCGCGGUAAUACGUAGGGGGAAAGCGUUAUCCGGAUUUAGUGGGUUUAAAGGGUGCGUAGGCGGAAUAUCAAGUCAGCGGUAAAAAUUCGGGGCUCCACCCCGUCGUGCCGUUGACACUGAUGUUCUUGAGUGGGCGAGAAGGAUGCGGAAUGCGUGGUGUAGCGGUGAAAUGCAUAGAUAUCACGCAGAACUCCGAUUGCGAAGGCAGCAUACCGGCGCCCAACUGACGCUGAAGCACGAAAGCGUGGGUAUCGAACAGGAUUAGAUACCCGAGUAGUC
RNAcentral lists this ribosomal RNA (439 nucleotides) under uncultured bacterium. RNAcentral describes it as "partial 16S ribosomal RNA". It matches the Rfam family "Bacterial small subunit ribosomal RNA", at positions 338 to 795 of the family's 1533-position model. The record is from RNAcentral.